RNAcentral lists this ribosomal RNA (467 nucleotides) under uncultured bacterium. RNAcentral's name for it is "partial 16S ribosomal RNA". It matches the Rfam family "Bacterial small subunit ribosomal RNA", at positions 28 to 506 of the family's 1533-position model. The record is from RNAcentral.
GACGAACGCUGGCGGCGUGCUUAACACAUGCAAGUCGAACGGAAAGGCCCUGCUUUUGUGGGGUGCUCGAGUGGCGAACGGGUGAGUAACACGUGAGUAACCUGCCCUUGACUUUGGGAUAACUUCAGGAAACUGGGGCUAAUACCGGAUAGGAGCUCCUGCUGCAUGGUGGGGGUUGGAAAGUUUCGGCGGUUGGGGAUGGACUCGCGGCUUAUCAGCUUGUUGGUGGGGUAGUGGCUUACCAAGGCUUUGACGGGUAGCCGGCCUGAGAGGGAGACCGGCCACAUUGGGACUGGGAUACGGCCCAGACUCAUACGGGAGGCAGCAGUGGGGAAUAUUGCACAAUGGGCGGAGGCCUGAUGCAGCAACGCCGCGUGCGGGAUGACGGCCUUCGGGUUGUAAACCGCUUUCGCCUGUGACGAAGCGUGAGUGACGGUAAUGGGGAAAGAAGCACCGGCUAACUACGU